RNAcentral lists this ribosomal RNA (923 nucleotides) under uncultured prokaryote. Its description in RNAcentral is "bacterial SSU rRNA". It matches the Rfam family "Bacterial small subunit ribosomal RNA", at positions 41 to 961 of the family's 1533-position model. The record is from RNAcentral.
GUUGUGCCUUUCCCAUGCCUGUCGAACGAUGACUCUCUAGCUUGCUAGAGAUGAUUAGUGGCGGACGGGUGAGUAACAUUUAGGAAUCUACCUAGUAGUGGGGGAUAGCUCGGGGAAACUCGAAUUAAUACCGCAUACGACCUACGGGUGAAAGGGGGCGCAAGCUCUUGCUAUUAGAUGAGCCUAAAUCAGAUUAGCUAGUUGGUGGGGUAAAGGCCCACCAAGGCGACGAUCUGUAACUGGUCUGAGAGGAUGAUCAGUCACACCGGAACUGAGACACGGUCCGGACUCCUACGGGAGGCAGCAGUGGGGAAUAUUGGACAAUGGGGGCAACCCUGAUCCAGCCAUGCCGCGUGUGUGAAGAAGGCCUUUUGGUUGUAAAGCACUUUAAGCAGGGAGGAGAGGCUAAUGGUUAAUACCCAUUAGAUUAGACGUUACCUGCAGAAUAAGCACCGGCUAACUCUGUGCCAGCAGCCGCGGUAAUACAGAGGGUGCGAGCGUUAAUCGGAAUUACUGGGCGUAAAGCGAGUGUAGGUGGCUCAUUAAGUCACAUGUGAAAUCCCCGGGCUUAACCUGGGAACUGCAUGUGAUACUGGUGGUGCUAGAAUAUGUGAGAGGGAAGUAGAAUUCCAGGUGUAGCGGUGAAAUGCGUAGAGAUCUGGAGGAAUACCGAUGGCGAAGGCAGCUUCCUGGCAUAAUAUUGACACUGAGAUUCGAAAGCGUGGGUAGCAAACAGGAUUAGAUACCCUGGUAGUCCACGCCGUAACCGAUGUCUACUAGCCGUUGGGGUCCUUGAGACUUUAAUGGCGCAGUUAACGCGAUAAGUAGACCGCCUGGGGAGUACGGCUCGCAAGGUUAAACUCAAUGAAUUGGACGGGGGGCCCGCACAACCCGUGGAGCAUGUGGUUUAUUUCGAUGCAACG